GGAAGGAUCAUUAACACGUUCCUAAAAACAAAUCUUUAAAACAUGUGUGAACCUGUGUCGGGAGUGGCCAAUUCUUCGGAAACGGUCAUUCUCGCGUUUAUUUUAUUUACCAAAAACCACAAUUUAAUCGUUUGACAGUUUUAAAAAAAAAGUAAUAUGUGCAUGCACAUAUUAGUAACGCUUAUACAACUUUUAGCAACGGAUAUCUUGGUUCUCGCAACGAUGAAGAACGCAGCGAAAUGCGAUACGUAGUGCGAAUUGCAGAAUUCAGUGAAUCAUCGAAUCUUUGAACGCAAAUUGCGCUUCCGGGCAUCUGCUUGGGAGCAUGCCUCUUUGAGCAUCGGUUUUCAUCCCUACUACUGUUUGUUUUCUAGGAAACGAUGCAGUAUGUGAAUCUUAGAUGAGUUUGUCAUGGCUGUCAAAAGCUAUGUCACUUGAAAUAUCUUUUAAAAUUGUUGAAGUGCUACUUGAUACUCUGUAAAUUGUUCAGGUGGUGGCGCAAUGUUUGGUUGGUGUUUCGGCAUCUUCUCGGCAUUGAAAAUGCUCCACUCGCUUGUAUGAGAAACAUGUAUUGAGAAUUGUGCUUUAAUAACGACAUGACUAUAUAGGUCAAGUCAAUUUCCAAAUUAUUGAUCUCAAAUGAGGUAAGAGGACCCGCUGAACUUAAGCAUAUUAAUAAGCGGAGGAAAAGAAACUAACAAGGAUUCCCCUAGUAACGGCGAGUGAAGCGGGAAUAGCUCAACUUGAAAAUUGGAAGGCUUUAGGUCUUCCGAAUUGUAGUCUAGAGAACUGGUGGCAGCGUGUGGCCCAGGCCUAAGUCCUUUGGAAGAAGGCGUCAGGGAGGGUGAGAACCCCGUCUGUGGCUUGGAGAUCUCGCCGCGUACGUCGCCAGUUUCUACGAGUCGGGUUGUUGGGAAUGCAGCCCAAAAUGGGUGGUAAAUUCCAUCUAAAGCUAAUACUUGCGAGAGACCGAUAGCGAACAAGUACCGUGAGGGAAAGAUGAAAAGAACUUUGAAAAGAGAGUUAAAAAGUGCUUGAAAUUGCUAAAAUGGAAGCAAUGGAAACCAGUAGUCGUGUCAUGCUCAUUUUCCUGUCUGGUGGGUGGCAGGCUGGUGUUCAAGAGUUUUUACGACCUUGAGCUGUUGGUCUUGUCGCUUGCUGGGCAGUCCCUGUGAGUGUGGCCGUGUCAGACCCGCUUUGGAUGCGCAGGAUAUGCGCCUGAUGGAAGGUGACAGGGAUCUGCUUUACGCGGUGAACUGUGUUUACUAUGCCGUCGGGACCGCGCUGUGCCGCUGGAGCGGUAGUUUCUCACCUCUCGAUAGGUGGGCUCCUGAUAGUGUAAGGUGGUGGAUGCUGUGUGUCGGUCGGUAUAUGGGAAAACAAAGUUUUGCCAUGUCUGGCCGGUGUACACCGUCUGUUGCUCUGAGCUGUCAGCUCUGACGUAAAUGGUUUCACUGACCCGUCUUGAAACACGGACCAAGGAGUCUGACAUAUAUGCGAGUAUUUGGGUGCUUGAAACCCUGAUGCGUAAUGAAAGUGAAGGCAGGCAGUGGUCUGCCGAGGUGGGACUCUGGCCACCUAGUGUGUUAAGCCAGAUGCACCAUCGACCGAUCGUUCACUUGUGGAGGAUUUGAGUGAGAGCAUAUCUGUUGGGACCCGAAAGAUGGUGAACUAUGCCUGGACAGGGCGAAGCCAGGGGAAACUCUGGUGGAGGCUCGUAGCGAUACUGACGUGCAAAUCGUUCGUCUGAUCUGGGUAUAGGGGCGAAAGACUAAUCGAACCAUCUAGUAGCUGGUUCCCUC
This 1802-nucleotide unclassified non-coding RNA is filed under the name uncultured fungus. Its description in RNAcentral is "sequence contains 18S rRNA gene, ITS1, 5.8S rRNA gene, ITS2, 28S rRNA gene". The stretch from base 631 to 1802 matches the Rfam family "Eukaryotic large subunit ribosomal RNA", at positions 1 to 961 of the family's 3401-position model. The record is from RNAcentral. Lineage: Eukaryota; Fungi.